RNAcentral lists this ribosomal RNA (464 nucleotides) under uncultured bacterium. RNAcentral describes it as "bacterial SSU rRNA". It matches the Rfam family "Bacterial small subunit ribosomal RNA", at positions 330 to 792 of the family's 1533-position model. The record is from RNAcentral.
GCCAGACUCCUACGGGAGGCAGCAGUGAGGAAUAUUGGUCAAUGGUCGGGAGACUGAACCAGCCAAGCCGCGUGAGGGAUGAAGGUACAGAGUAUCGUAAACCUCUUUUGUCAGGGAACAAAGGCGGGGACGUGUCCCCGGAUGAGUGUACCUGAAGAAAAAGCAUCGGCUAACUCCGUGCCAGCAGCCGCGGUAAUACGGAGGAUGCGAGCGUUAUCCGGAUUUAUUGGGUUUAAAGGGUGCGUAGGCGGAAUGCCAAGUCAGCGGUAAAAUCGCGGGGCUCAACCUCGCUCCGCCGUUGAAACUGGCGUUCUUGAGUGGGCGAGAAGUAUGCGGAAUGCGUGGUGUAGCGGUGAAAUGCAUAGAUAUCACGCAGAACUCCGAUUGCGAAGGCAGCGUACCGGCGCCCAACUGACGCUGAAGCACGAAGGCGUGGGUAUCGAACAGGAUUAGAUACCCGGGUA